This 392-nucleotide unclassified non-coding RNA is filed under the name soil metagenome. RNAcentral's name for it is "partial contains 5.8S ribosomal RNA, internal transcribed spacer 2, and large subunit ribosomal RNA". The stretch from base 1 to 122 matches the Rfam family "5.8S ribosomal RNA", at positions 35 to 154 of the family's 154-position model. The record is from RNAcentral.
GAUGAAGAACGUAGCGAAAUGCGAUACUUGGUGUGAAUUGCAGAAUCCCGUGAACCAUCGAGUCUUUGAACGCAAGUUGCGCCCGAAGCCAUUAGGCCGAGGGCACGCCUGCCUGGGCGUCACACGUCGUUGCCCCCCCCAUCUACUCCUUCGGGAUUGCGGGGGGCGGAUGAUGGCCUCCCGUGCGCCUCGCCGCGCGGUUGGCAUAAAUACCAAGUCCUCGGCGACGCACGCCACGACAAUCGGUGGUUGCGAAACCUCGGUUGCCCGUCGUGUGCGGUCGUCGCGCAUCGAGGGCUCGAAAAAAUUGCCGGGCUCCGGCUCGGCUUUCAACGCGACCCCAGGUCAGGCGGGGUUACCCGCUGAAUUUAAGCAUAUCAAUAAGCGGAGGA